CACUAUCGUUAACUGAAUACAUAGGUUAACGAGGCGAACCGGGGGAACUGAAACAUCUAAGUACCCCGAGGAAAAGAAAUCAACCGAGAUUCCCCCAGUAGCGGCGAGCGAACGGGGAGCAGCCCAGAGUCUGAAUCAGCUUGUGUGUUAGUGGAACGGUCUGGAAAGUCCGACGGUACAGGGUGAUAGUCCCGUACACCAAAAUGCACAGGCUGUGAACUCGAAGAGUAGGGCGGGACACGUGGUAUCCUGUCUGAAUAUGGGGGGACCAUCCUCCAAGGCUAAAUACUCCUGACUGACCGAUAGUGAACCAGUACCGUGAGGGAAAGGCGAAAAGAACCCCGGCGAGGGGAGUGAAAAAGAACCUGAAACCGUGUACGUACAAGCAGUGGGAGCACCUUCGGGUGUGACUGCGUACCUUUUGUAUAAUGGGUCAGCGACUUAUAUUCUGUAGCAAGGUUAACCGUAUAGGGGAGCCGCAGGGAAACCGAGUCUUAACUGGGCGUUAAGUUGCAGGGUAUAGACCCGAAACCCGGUGAUCUAGCCAUGGGCAGGUUGAAGGUUGGGUAACACUAACUGGAGGACCGAACCGACUAAUGUUGAAAAAUUAGCGGAUGACUUGUGGCUGGGGGUGAAAGGCCAAUCAAACCGGGAGAUAGCUGGUUCUCCCCGAAAGCUAUUUAGGUAGCGCCUCGUGAACUCAUCUUCGGGGGUAGAGCACUGUUUCGGCUAGGGGGUCAUCCCGACUUACCAACCCGAUGCAAACUACGAAUACCGAAGAAUGUUAUCACGGGAGACACACGGCGGGUGCUAACGUCCGUCGUGAAGAGGGAAACAACCCAGACCGCCAGCUAAGGUCCCAAAGUCAUGGUUAAGUGGGAAACGAUGUGGGAAGGCACAGACAGCCAGGAUGUUGGCUUAGAAGCAGCCAUCAUUUAAAGAAAGCGUAAUAGCUCACUGGUCGAGUCGGCCUGCGCGGAAGAUGUAACGGGGCUAAACCAUGCACCGAAGCUGCGGCAGCGACACUAUGUGUUGUUGGGUAGGGGAGCGUUCUGUAAGCCUGCGAAGGUGUGCUGUGAGGCAUGCUGGAGGUAUCAGAAGUGCGAAUGCUGACAUAAGUAACGAUAAAGCGGGUGAAAAGCCCGCUCGCCGGAAGACCAAGGGUUCCUGUCCAACGUUAAUCGGGGCAGGGUGAGUCGACCCCUAAGGCGAGGCCGAAAGGCGUAGUCGAUGGGAAACAGGUUAAUAUUCCUGUACUUGGUGUUACUGCGAAGGGGGGACGGAGAAGGCUAUGUUAGCCGGGCGACGGUUGUCCCGGUUUAAGCAUGUAGGCUGAUUGUCCAGGCAAAUCCGGAUAAUCAAGGCUGAGGUGUGAUGACGAGGCACUACGGUGCUGAAGUAACAAAUGCCCUGCUUCCAGGAAAAGCCUCUAAGCAUCAGGUAACAUCAAAUCGUACCCCAAACCGACACAGGUGGUCAGGUAGAGAAUACCAAGGCGCUUGAGAGAACUCGGGUGAAGGAACUAGGCAAAAUGGUGCCGUAACUUCGGGAGAAGGCACGCUGGUGUGUAGGUGAAGUCCCUGCGGAUGGAGCUGAGACCAGUCGAAGAUACCAGCUGGCUGCAACUGUUUAUUAAAAACACAGCACUGUGCAAACACGAAAGUGGACGUAUACGGUGUGACGCCUGCCCGGUGCCGGAAGGUUAAUUGAUGGGGUUAUCCGUAAGGAGAAGCUCUUGAUCGAAGCCCCGGUAAACGGCGGCCGUAACUAUAACGGUCCUAAGGUAGCGAAAUUCCUUGUCGGGUAAGUUCCGACCUGCACGAAUGGCGUAAUGAUGGCCAGGCUGUCUCCACCCGAGACUCAGUGAAAUUGAACUCGCUGUGAAGAUGCAGUGUACCCGCGGCAAGACGGAAAGACCCCGUGAACCUUUACUAUAGCUUGACACUGAACAUUGAGCCUUGAUGUGUAGGAUAGGUGGGAGGCUUUGAAGCGUGGACGCCAGUCUGCGUGGAGCCAACCUUGAAAUACCACCCUUUAAUGUUUGAUGUUCUAACGUUGGCCCCUGACCGGGGUUGCGGACAGUGUCUGGUGGGUAGUUUGACUGGGGCGGUCUCCUCCCAAAGCGUAACGGAGGAGCACGAAGGUUAGCUAAUCCUGGUCGGACAUCAGGAGGUUAGUGCAAUGGCAUAAGCUAGCUUGACUGCGAGCGUGACGGCGCGAGCAGGUGCGAAAGCAGGUCAUAGUGAUCCGGUGGUUCUGAAUGGAAGGGCCAUCGCUCAACGGAUAAAAGGUACUCCGGGGAUAACAGGCUGAUACCGCCCAAGAGUUCAUAUCGACGGCGGUGUUUGGCACCUCGAUGUCGGCUCAUCACAUCCUGGGGCUGAAGUAGGUCCCAAGGGUAUGGCUGUUCGCCAUUUAAAGUGGUACGCGAGCUGGGUUUAGAACGUCGUGAGACAGUUCGGUCCCUAUCUGCCGUGGGCGCUGGAGAAUUGAGGGGGGCUGCUCCUAGUACGAGAGGACCGGAGUGGACGCAUCACUGGUGUUCGGGUUGUCAUGCCAAUGGCACUGCCCGGUAGCUAAAUGCGGAAGAGAUAAGUGCUGAAAGCAUCUAAGCACGAAACUUGCCCCGAGAUGAGUUCUCCCUGAGACUAUAAGUCUCCUGAAGGAACGUUAAAGACGAUGACGUUGAUAGGCCGGGUGUGUAAGCGCAGCGAUGCGUUGAGCUAACCGGUACUAAUGAACCGUGAGGCUUAACCUU
RNAcentral lists this ribosomal RNA (2758 nucleotides) under Klebsiella pneumoniae. Its description in RNAcentral is "bacterial LSU rRNA". It matches the Rfam family "Bacterial large subunit ribosomal RNA". Lineage: Bacteria; Pseudomonadati; Pseudomonadota; Gammaproteobacteria; Enterobacterales; Enterobacteriaceae. The record is from RNAcentral.